AUGCGUUCAGCCCCAGGACUGGUUUGCAGCGAUCGACCUGGAAGACGCGUACUUUCAUGUCUCGAUCCUCCCUCGCCACAGACCGUUCUGCGGUUUGCAUUCGAGGGUCAGCCAUGGCAGUACAAGGUCCUCCCCUUCGGGCUCUCCCUGUUCCCCCGUGUCUUCACGAAGCUCACGGAGGGCGCCCUUGCCCCACUCUGGGAAGUGGGCGUCUGGAUCCUCAACUAUCUUGACGACUGGCUCAUUAUGGCCCGGUCCCGAGAGCAGUUGUGCGAUCACAGGGACUUGGUGCUCCGGCACCUCAGUCAGUUGGGGCUUCAGGUCAACCGAGAGAAGAGCAAACUCUCCCCUGUGCAGAGAAUCUCUUAUCUCGGUAUGGAGUUAGACUCGGUGAGUAUGACGGCACGGCUCACCAGCGAGCGUGCCCAGUCAGUGCUGAACUGCCUGAGUUUCUUCAGAGGCAGGACGGUGGUACCACUGAAACACUUUCAGAGGCUCCUGGGGCAUAUGGCAUCCGCAGCCGCAGUCACGCCGCCCGGGUUGCUUCAUAUGAGGCCACUUCAGCACUGGUUACACUCCCGAGUCCUGAGAUGGGCAUGGCGCCGCGCUACACAUCGUGUCACCAUCACACCGAUGUGUCGCCGCCUAUUCAGCCCCUGGUCGGACCUUGCCUUUCUACGGGCCGGCGUGCCCUUAGAACAAGUGUCCCGGCACGUUGUUGUCACAACAGAUGCCUGUUUCGUACAUAAACCGACAGGGCGGUCUACGAUCACGUCGCAUGUCUCAACUCGCCCGCCAUCUCCUCCUCUGGAGUCAGACGUGGCUCAAGUCGCUGCGCGCUGUCCACAUCCCGGGGGAGCUCAAUCGUGCAGCCGACGCGCUCUCACGACAGCUCACUUUCCCCGGAGAAUGUCGACUCCAUCCCCAGAUGGUCCAGCUGAUCUGGAGUCGAUUCGGGGAAGCUCAGGUUUGCUGUCCACGAGUCCUCCCACUGCCAGCUUUCGGAGAUGCCCGGUCAGAGUCGUUCUUUCUUUCCUGCAAGAAAGGUUGGAGCGUGGGCUGUCACCCUCCACCCUGAAGGUGUAUGGCUGCCAUUGCAGCCCAUCACGAGGCAGUGGACGACCGGUCCCUGGGGAUUCAUGA
This 1143-nucleotide long non-coding RNA is filed under the name Carassius auratus (goldfish). RNAcentral's name for it is "lncRNA (ENSCARG00000019072.1)". Lineage: Eukaryota; Metazoa; Chordata; Actinopteri; Cypriniformes; Cyprinidae. The record is from RNAcentral.